CAGUAGCCGCGGGAAAACGAAGGGGGCUAGCGUUGUUCGGAAUUACUGGGCGUAAAGCGCACGUAGGCGGAUAUUUAAGUCAGGGGUGAAAUCCCAGAGCUCAACUCUGGAACGGCCUUUGAUACUGGGUAUCUUGAGUAUGGAAGAGGUUAGUGGAAUUGCGAGUGUAGAGGUGAAAUUCGUAGAUAUUCGCAGGAACACCAGUGGCGAAGGCGGCUAACUGGUCCAUAACUGACGCUGAGGUGCGAAAGCGUGGGGAGCAAACAGGAUUAGAGACCCCGGUAGUCCCUGUCUCUUAUAC
Molecule: ribosomal RNA, 301 nt
Filed under: uncultured bacterium
Lineage: Bacteria
Description: partial 16S ribosomal RNA
Rfam family: Bacterial small subunit ribosomal RNA
Source: RNAcentral